AACGCGAAGAACCUUACCAGGUCUUGACAUCCAGUGCAAACCUAAGAGAUUAGGUGUUCCCUCCGGGGACGCUGAGACAGGUGGUGCAUGGCUGUCGUUAGCUCGUGUCGUGAGAUGUUGGGUUAAGUCCCGCAACGAGCGCAACCCUUGUCAUUAGUUGCCAUCAUUAAGUUGGGCACUCUAAUGAGACUGCCGGUGACAAACCGGAGGAAGGUGGGGAUGACGUCAAGUCAUCAUGCCCCUUAUGACCUGGGCUACACACGUGCUACAAUGGACGGUACAACGAGAAGCGAACCUGCGAAGGCAAGCGGAUCUCUUAAAGCCGUUCUCAGUUCGGACUGUAGGCUGCAACUCGCCUACACGAAGCUGGAAUCGCUAGUAAUCGCGGAUCAGCACGCCGCGGUGAAUACGUUCCCGGGUCUUGUACACACCG
This 433-nucleotide ribosomal RNA is filed under the name Lactobacillus johnsonii. RNAcentral's name for it is "bacterial SSU rRNA". It matches the Rfam family "Bacterial small subunit ribosomal RNA", at positions 958 to 1392 of the family's 1533-position model. Lineage: Bacteria; Bacillati; Bacillota; Bacilli; Lactobacillales; Lactobacillaceae. The record is from RNAcentral.